AGAGACUUAGGCUAAACCACARACCACACGCCUUCAAAGCAUGAAAUAUGUACCAUACAUAGUCUCUG
This 68-nucleotide transfer RNA is filed under the name Sphaerodactylus argus. Its description in RNAcentral is "tRNA-Trp". The record is from RNAcentral. Lineage: Eukaryota; Metazoa; Chordata; Lepidosauria; Squamata; Sphaerodactylidae.